RNAcentral lists this ribosomal RNA (490 nucleotides) under Escherichia coli. RNAcentral's name for it is "bacterial SSU rRNA". It matches the Rfam family "Bacterial small subunit ribosomal RNA", at positions 1 to 480 of the family's 1533-position model. Lineage: Bacteria; Pseudomonadati; Pseudomonadota; Gammaproteobacteria; Enterobacterales; Enterobacteriaceae. The record is from RNAcentral.
AAAUUGAAGAGUUUGAUCAUGGCUCAGAUUGAACGCUGGCGGCAGGCCUAACACAUGCAAGUCGAACGGUAACAGGAAGCAGCUUGCUGCUUUGCUGACGAGUGGCGGACGGGUGAGUAAUGUCUGGGAAACUGCCUGAUGGAGGGGGAUAACUACUGGAAACGGUAGCUAAUACCGCAUAACGUCGCAAGACCAAAGAGGGGGACCUUAGGGCCUCUUGCCAUCGGAUGUGCCCAGAUGGGAUUAGCUAGUAGGUGGGGUAACGGCUCACCUAGGCGACGAUCCCUAGCUGGUCUGAGAGGAUGACCAGCCACACUGGAACUGAGACACGGUCCAGACUCCUACGGGAGGCAGCAGUGGGGAAUAUUGCACAAUGGGCGCAAGCCUGAUGCAGCCAUGCCGCGUGUAUGAAGAAGGCCUUCGGGUUGUAAAGUACUUUCAGCGGGGAGGAAGGGAGUAAAGUUAAUACCUUUGCUCAUUGACGUUACCC